GAUGAACGCUGGCGGCGUGCCUAAUACAUGCCAGUCGAGCGAACAGACGAGGAGCUUGCUCCUCUGACGUUAGCGGCGGACGGGUGAGUAACACGUGGAUAACCUACCUAUAAGACUGGGAUAACUUCGGGAAACCGGAGCUAAUACCGGAUAAUAUAUUGAACCGCAUGGUUCAAUAGUGAAAGACGGUUUUGCUGUCACUUAUAGAUGGAUCCGCGCCGCAUUAGCUAGUUGGUAAGGUAACGGCUUACCAAGGCAACGAUGCGUAGCCGACCUGAGAGGGUGAUCGGCCACGCUGGAACUGAGACACGGUCCAGACUCCUACGGGAGGCAGCAGUAGGGAAUCUUCCGCAAUGGGCGAAAGCCUGACGGAGCAACGCCGCGUGAGUGAUGAAGGUCUUCGGAUCGUAAAACUCUGUUAUUAGGGAAGAACAAAUGUGUAGUAACUAUGCACGUCUUGACGGUACCUAAUCAGAAAGCCACGGCUAACUACGUG
This 496-nucleotide ribosomal RNA is filed under the name uncultured bacterium. RNAcentral describes it as "partial 16S ribosomal RNA". It matches the Rfam family "Bacterial small subunit ribosomal RNA", at positions 28 to 507 of the family's 1533-position model. The record is from RNAcentral.